This is a non-coding RNA of Gossypium raimondii (Peruvian cotton), 145 nucleotides long. The record is from Rfam. NCBI's taxonomy places the organism in Eukaryota, Viridiplantae, Streptophyta, Magnoliopsida, Malvales, Malvaceae.
UGUUAAAAUAUUCAUCCAUUUCUACUAUUAAAAAGUGGUGUGUUUGAUAGAAUAAUCAAACAGUUACACAUGGUAUGUCAUGCGUAUAUUAUUCUAUUAUAUGUGGAUUGGUUUUUAAUACUAGAAAUGAAUAGAAUUUUUAAUA